CUCAGAUGAAACAGGCUGGGAGAGUAACAGGACGUGACCUCACCUGCAAAGGAUCUAUCUAGAGGAGACGGAAAACACCAGCUUAGAUCAUCGAAAAGUGAGACUCCCAAGUCUCCAGGCCAGGAGGCAGUCUCAUGUAACUCAGGCUGCCCUCAAGCUCACAAAAUUAUGAAUAACUUUCAACUUCUGAUUGUCCUGUCUGCACCCCUGAGCACUGGAAUAACAGGAAUAUGGGUGAGGGGUCAUAAGGAGCAGAAAUGACUCAAAGACAGCUGCAUCGCCAAAGCACAGUCCCAGCAAAAAUGAUGGCUUACAAAGCUGGGAACCUGGAGCACACGGCACAGCCUGCAGGCCACUCAACAGAUUAGAGAGUGGCCUUGCCACUUGUCUCUGCUUCUUCCAGGUAGCUUAGCUGGGGUCUGGUUCCUCUAGACAGCUGGUCUGAUCUCAAGAGUCUUGGCAGCCUUUCUCCUCUGAGAGUCUCUGUGCAACUCAGCUUUGGUUCGUGUGAAAAGGACUCUCAUCUUUUACUGCUUACUCUUGCAGGGAGGGGCCUAGUGAAUCUGGUCCAUUUCAGGGACUUCCUGAAGCUAUUUUGAGGUGUUUACCUUCCUGCUUAAGGAGCUUCCCUGCAAGAUGGGAUGGUUCAGUCUCAGAGGGAACGUACACAACAUAGCUAAAGAUGGUAAGGUAAGCCUACAUGGAGGAGUCUUUAGGGAGUGGGACCUAGAAGAAGGCAGGAGGUCCGUAGCCCUGUGUCCCUGAAGGCAUGUUGGACCCACCCUCUCUGCAUUCUGACCUCUGAACACAGCUGCUUCUCCGUGCGUUCUCACGCUACACUGUGCAACCAAAGGGCCCAGAGACGAUGGCCGAAACCUCUGAAACUGUAGACUGGAACAAAUCUUCCCCCUUUGAGCUACUAUCUCUGGGUUAGGGAGAUAGCUUAGUUGACAGAGUGCUUACCUGGUGCUCGAGAAGAUCAGAGUCUGAUCCCCAGGCCGGAAUAAAUCAGGUGUUGUGGUGGUGAAUACCCGGAAUCUCAGCACUUGGGAGGCUGGGCAGGAGGAUUGUUGUGAUUCUAACAAAUAAUAAGAGGGCUCCUAAGUGCAGACUGGUUUUAAGAAAAAAAAAAUCAAAUAGGGGCUGAAACAAUGACUCAGUGGACCUUAGUUUGAUCCCCAGAAUCCACAAGGAGGCUCACAACCCAUGUAACUUCAUUCAGGGGAUCUGAGGUCCUUUUCUAGAUUCCACAGGGACUGCAUACACAUGAUGCGUAGUCAUACAGACAAAUACCAUACACAUUAAAUCAAUUACCUCUGGCUACAUUAUAAAAUGUGUAUAAAAUAAAAUUAAGUUCUUCUUUAGACUUGAGUCCUCUAAGAUACCUCAGUAUGUAUACAUAAAUGUCUAUAAAUUAAAAAAGAAUCCAA
Molecule: long non-coding RNA, 1430 nt
Organism: Mastomys coucha (southern multimammate mouse)
Lineage: Eukaryota; Metazoa; Chordata; Mammalia; Rodentia; Muridae
Exons: 3
Source: RefSeq, a predicted model, not a curated record